UACGUAGGUGACAAGCGUUGUCCGGAUUUACUGGGCGUAAAGAGCGCGCAGGCGGUCGGUCAAGUCGAGUGUGAAAGCCCCCGGCUCAACUGGGGAGGGUCAUUCGAUACUGAUCGACUCGAAGGCAGGAGAGGGUAGUGGAAUUCCCGGUGUAGUGGUGAAAUGCGCAGAUAUCGGGAGGAACACCAGUGGCGAAGGCGGCUUUCUGGUCUGCUCUUGACGCUGAGGCGCGAAAGCUAGGGUAGCAAACGGG
RNAcentral lists this ribosomal RNA (253 nucleotides) under uncultured bacterium. Its description in RNAcentral is "partial 16S ribosomal RNA". It matches the Rfam family "Bacterial small subunit ribosomal RNA", at positions 524 to 776 of the family's 1533-position model. The record is from RNAcentral.